This is a long non-coding RNA of Rhododendron vialii, 1209 nucleotides long. RefSeq lists it as uncharacterized. Lineage: Eukaryota; Viridiplantae; Streptophyta; Magnoliopsida; Ericales; Ericaceae. The record is from RefSeq and is a predicted model, not a curated record. The transcript has 3 exons.
GGUAGUCAAUAAGGUGGAGACAACUGUGAGGUUAUCAUCAGCUACUUUGAGGGCAUUUUCAUGCUCUGUUUCAGCUUGGCUUAAGAGAUUACGAGAUGUAGCUUUCGAAUAUAAGCAGCUCCAACAAUUGGUUUAAGGUUUCUGCAGUUAGCUAGCAAAAAUUUUCAGCGUUUGAAAAGUUGUAAGUUACCUAAUAUAGGCCAAGGAGUCUUCCAUGGUUGAGGUGUAGAGAGAAUAUAUUUUCGUCUUUUUAUUUCUAGCAUUCAGCUUUCUCACAUAGCAAAGAUCUCCUACUCUCCUGCUUAUGCAUUUGUUUUUCUGUAUACGUUUUUGUUUUCAUUCUCUGUGGCUGCUGGGAUUUUGUAUACUCUUUAAGGGCCUGUACCUGUCUUUUGUUUGUUAUACUCCGUAUGAUUGAAGUAACUCUUUUGUUUUAGGGGAAUUGAGGAAAUCCUUUGCGGUCAUCUAUGCAUGCUAAACUGAAUGCUCUUUUAUGCUAACAAAACUGUUUCUAUCAAUGAGGCUGAUUUUUGGGAGAUGGGCUAUUUAUUGAGACAAAAGUUGCUGGUACCACUACUGGCAUAUCUACGAAUAACAAGAAGGAUAUGGCAGGAAGGGAAUUCAUCUCUGUGUCUAGCACAAUAGAAGGAAAACACCAGAUCAAUAGAGACAUUCAAGUAUGUCCUUUGUUUAUUAAGGAAAUAGCAACGAGAAUUGUUUCUGCAGGUAAUUCAACAUGCUCCUAUGAUGUUUUUACAGGCUUCUGGCUGAGGGGAUAUUGAUGAAGUUGGUAACUGCAGAAGUGUUAGUUCUAAUAGUGAUCCGAGCACGACUGGGUUAACAUUACCAGAGGUCUUUUGUUUAUCAUUAGCAGGUCUUAUUGGGCAUGAUGAUUAUAUCUAUAAGUACUUUUGGCAAGAAGAGCCAUUAAACUCCAAAUUGCCUCUCUAUUUCAACCCUUUGUGGACAUACAUAAACUCCAAAAUUGCCUCUCCUUUUUUUGGUUUCAAAUGUGUCGGUUGUUUUUGGUAAAAUACCUUCUGGUUUGACUUGAAGUGCUUUAAUUAUAUGUCUCCUUAAAAAGUUGGUAUUUCACAAGGACUAAAAUUUUGGGAUUGAGGUAGUAUGUACCACUACACUGCAACAUGGAAAUGAAGGGUCAGCGCUUAAUAUUUCAAAACUAGGAUUAUGUUGCUUAACUUACUUUUG